Molecule: long non-coding RNA, 403 nt
Filed under: Homo sapiens (human)
Lineage: Eukaryota; Metazoa; Chordata; Mammalia; Primates; Hominidae
Description: HSALNT0169844
Source: RNAcentral
CAGCAUUUCCGUAAACAGGUCAUAGUCUAAGGGCGUGGCGAGCUCCAAGGGGUCGCAGAUUAUUUUAUGAUACUAGACGUCACUGCAUCCUGCACGAUACGCUUUCUGGUUAAUGUUCAUCUUUCUGGCCUUGAAUUCAAACCAUACCUAUGCUUAGAAUGAAUUGAUAGACCUUUCCUUUUAUUCUGCUAGGGCUAAAGGUUUAUGAUAUUGAUAAUGUAUAACAACAUAUGCCAGUCCAAAAUAUCUAUUCUAAAUAAGAAGAGAAUCAGGAAGAGAAGAGGCCACAGGCCUCUUAGGAAUCGUAUUAGGAAGAGAAAGGAAAUUUCAUGUGACAUUUGGAAAAGUAAAUGCUGACUUGCUUAUAAUAAAUAAUUGAAAUAAUAUUGGUAUUCAGGACUGU